RNAcentral lists this ribosomal RNA (253 nucleotides) under uncultured bacterium. RNAcentral describes it as "partial 16S ribosomal RNA". It matches the Rfam family "Bacterial small subunit ribosomal RNA", at positions 524 to 776 of the family's 1533-position model. The record is from RNAcentral.
UACGGAGGAUCCAAGCGUUAUCCGGAAUCAUUGGGUUUAAAGGGUCCGUAGGCGGUCUUAUAAGUCAGUGGUGAAAUCUCCCCGCUCAACGGGGAAACGGCCAUUGAUACUGUAGGACUUGAAUUAUUGUGAAGUAACUAGAAUAUGUAGUGUAGCGGUGAAAUGCUUAGAUAUUACAUGGAAUACCAAUUGCGAAGGCAGGUUACUAACAAUAUAUUGACGCUGAUGGACGAAAGCGUGGGUAGCGAACAGG